Molecule: ribosomal RNA, 405 nt
Filed under: uncultured bacterium
Lineage: Bacteria
Description: bacterial SSU rRNA
Rfam family: Bacterial small subunit ribosomal RNA
Source: RNAcentral
ACGCAGCAACGCCGCGUGGGGGAUGAAGCUUCUCGGAGUGUAAACCCCUUUCGACCCGGACGAAUGCCCGCAAGUGUUAGACGGUACGGGUAUAAGAAGCCCCGGCUAAGUACGUGCCAGCAGCCGCGGUAAAACGUAGGGGGCCAGCGUUGCUCGGAAUUACUGGGCGUAAAGGGUCUGUAGGCGGUGCGGCAAGUCGGAAGUGAAAUCUCUGGGCUUAACCCAGAGGGUGCUUCCGAAAGUGCCGUGAUAGAGGAUGAGAGAGGCAAGUGGAAUUGCGGGUGUAGCGGUGAGAUGGGUAGAUAUCCGCAGGAACAUCCGAGGCGAAAGCGGCAUGGUGGAUCAUUUGUGACGCUGAGGGUCGACAGCUCGGGGAGCAAACAAGAUUAGAUACUCUGGUGGUCC